AGAGUUUGAUUAUGGCUCAGAACGAACGCUGGCGGCGCGUUUUAAGCAUGCAAGUCGAGCGGCAAGGGUCUUCGGGCCCCUAGAGCGGCGGACGGGUGAGUAACACGUGGACAAUCUGCCCCCCGGCCGGGGAUAGCCCAGGGAAACCUGGAUUAAUACCGGAUGAGACGGGACCCGCGGAGGCGGGAUCCGGGAAAGGCGCUGCGGCGCCGCCGGGGGAUGAGUCUGCGUCCCAUUAGCUUGACGGCGGGGUAACGGCCCACCGUGGCGACGAUGGGUAGCCGGCCUGAGAGGGUGGACGGCCACAUUGGAACUGAGACACGGUCCAGACUCCUACGGGAGGCAGCAGCUAAGAAUCUUCCGCAAUGGGCGAAAGCCUGACGGAGCGACGCCGCGUGAACGAAGAAGGCCGUGAGGUUGUAAAGUUCUUUUCGGGAGGGGGAACAACCGUGGCAGGGAAUGGCCGCGGGAUGACGUGAAUCCCGGAAUAAGCCCCGGCUAACUACGUGCCAGCAGCCGCGGUAACACGUAGGGGGCGAGCGUUGCUCGGAAUCAUUGGGCGUAAAGGGCGUGCAGGCGGUCCUGCAAGUCCGGCGUGAAAGACCCCGGCCCAACCGGGGGGGCGCGCUGGAAACUGCAGGGCUUGAGUACAGGAGGGGAUGCCGGAAUUCCAGGUGUAGGGGUGAAAUCUGUAGAUAUCUGGAGGAACACCAAUGGCGAAGGCAGGCAUCUGGCCAUGUACUGACGCUGAGACGCGAAAGUGCGGGGAGCAAACAGGAUUAGAUACCCUGGUAGUC
This 797-nucleotide ribosomal RNA is filed under the name uncultured Sphaerochaeta sp. Its description in RNAcentral is "bacterial SSU rRNA". It matches the Rfam family "Bacterial small subunit ribosomal RNA", at positions 8 to 795 of the family's 1533-position model. Lineage: Bacteria; Pseudomonadati; Spirochaetota; Spirochaetia; Spirochaetales; Sphaerochaetaceae. The record is from RNAcentral.